GCAGACAUAGUUUAAUGGUAAAACUUGGGCUUCCCAAGCCUACGUCGCGAGUUCGAUUCUCGUUGUCUGCUCCA
This 74-nucleotide transfer RNA is filed under the name Clostridia bacterium. Its description in RNAcentral is "tRNA-Gly". It matches the Rfam family "tRNA". Rfam says of the family: Transfer RNA (tRNA) molecules are approximately 80 nucleotides in length. The record is from RNAcentral. Lineage: Bacteria; Bacillati; Bacillota; Clostridia.